This 71-nucleotide transfer RNA is filed under the name Marmota monax (woodchuck). It matches the Rfam family "tRNA". Rfam says of the family: Transfer RNA (tRNA) molecules are approximately 80 nucleotides in length. Their secondary structure includes four short double-helical elements and three loops (D, anti-codon, and T loops). Further hydrogen bonds mediate the characteristic L-shaped molecular structure. tRNAs have two regions of fundamental functional importance: the anti-codon, which is responsible for specific mRNA codon recognition, and the 3' end, to which the tRNAs corresponding amino acid is attached (by aminoacyl-tRNA synthetases). tRNAs cope with the degeneracy of the genetic code in two manners: having more than one tRNA (with a specific anti-codon) for a particular amino acid; and 'wobble' base-pairing, i.e. permitting non-standard base-pairing at the 3rd anti-codon position. The record is from Rfam by way of RNAcentral. Lineage: Eukaryota; Metazoa; Chordata; Mammalia; Rodentia; Sciuridae.
AGAGAUGUAGCUCAGUGGUAGAGCACUUGCUUAGCAUGUAUGAGAUCCUGGGUUCAAUCCCAGUACCUUGU